UGUACAUUCCCCUGGACCUUUUCAUGAAGGAAUGUUUAUACCUGUGGGCAGGCACUAAUGGCAGUGAAAGGCUUGCAUUCACGGGAACAGCAUUUAGCAAUUCAUGGUUGCCAAGGUAAGCAACAAAGGCAUGCCCUCUGCCACUCCACUGCCUCUAAAAGAAACAGUCUCUAAGGUAACAGGCUAGCACCCCUUGAGGCCAAAAAUCUUUAGCUUUUUAGACAGAAAACGCACUAAAUAAUACCAAGAAAAGCAUUUUUUUUUGGUCAAGGAAUUUUUUUUCUUCUCAACAGAGAAGGGGCUCAAAGUGUUCUAUUUUUGGUUCUGCACAGGAAUUUAAUUCAGCUGCUGCCCAGUCUUUGUGCACUCAACACCCCUUUGACAGUUUGGUUUCGGGGGCACAUAGGACUAAUGAGCCAAGGCAUGACUGCAGUUGGAGACUGUCGCCUCCCAGGCCUGCGACUGUUGUUCAAGUGAAUAGGCAAUUUCUCUGAUUAGCUUGGAAUUUGUGGCAUUAGCCAGAUGGUUAUUUGGCAUGAGCCCUUUUUCCAGGAUCACAGUCAAUUUGAGAGAUUGAAUCACCUGAAGAAAAGGUCUGCAGAGACAGCAGUGGCUAGAUGCUGCCUGUGAUAGGAUGGGAGAAUGGGCUUCUCCUUGACUUCAUCUUGCUCUGCAGCUGCUUGCCAACCUCUUUUGUCUUACUGUACCAAAAGGGAAGAAGUAGGGUGAUGUGCAGUGAAGGCUCAGCCCUCCUUCCUUCCCAUAUCCCAGAUCCUCGGAGAGAGAAGAGGCAGAACAGUUCCUCAAGCCAGCAUGACGCUUUGCUUCAGAGACACUGUAGGAAGGACUGUGCCAUUCUGGCAGAGAUGAAGAACAAUUAUUCUUUCUGUUGUUGA
RNAcentral lists this long non-coding RNA (896 nucleotides) under Zonotrichia albicollis (white-throated sparrow). Its description in RNAcentral is "lncRNA (ENSZALG00000015502.1)". The record is from RNAcentral. Lineage: Eukaryota; Metazoa; Chordata; Aves; Passeriformes; Passerellidae.